CUACCUUGUCCAGGGGUGGGACCAUUUAUGAAGCGAAGCUAUCUCCUCCCCUCUCCGGAGCGACCUGUCGUGUCAAUUACUGGAAGAGACCAACGUGUUUUUCCCCAGGUAAAAGAUUAUGGCAGUCUCUGAAACAGUACAAAUCGGGCACACAGAGAUACCAGCAGAGAGCCAAAGUCUGUAUCCUAUGUGGAGCGCCUUUGUUCUCCGCUGACUGCAAUAGAAAUACGCCCUGGGGAAUCUGGGCAGGACACGCAUACCACAGCCAUGAAUCUGCUCAGUUAAAAAAAGAACACUGACAGCAAUUUAAAGGUUUAUUCAUAAUUGUGAUUUUGUCCAGGAAAAAAUGUUAAAAUAAAAAUGGAUCCAAU
Myotis daubentonii (Daubenton's bat) is the source of this 371-nucleotide long non-coding RNA. RefSeq lists it as uncharacterized. NCBI's taxonomy places the organism in Eukaryota, Metazoa, Chordata, Mammalia, Chiroptera, Vespertilionidae. The record is from RefSeq and is a predicted model, not a curated record.